Molecule: ribosomal RNA, 324 nt
Filed under: uncultured eukaryote
Lineage: Eukaryota
Description: partial 18S ribosomal RNA
Rfam family: Eukaryotic small subunit ribosomal RNA
Source: RNAcentral
CCCUUAGAUGUUCUGGGCCGCACGCGCGCUACACUGACGAAGUCAGCGAGCAUGUCCUACGCCGACAGGUGCGGGGAAUCUUGUCAAACUUCGUCGUGAUGGGGAUUGAUUAUUGAAAUUCUUGAUCAUCAACGAGGAAUUCCUAGUAAGCGCAAGUCAGCAGCUUGCGUUGAUUACGUCCCUGCCCUUUGUACACACCGCCCGUCGCUACUACCGAUUGAGUGAUCCGGUGAAUAAUUCGGACUGCAGCAGUGUUCAGUUCCUGAACGUUGCAGCGGAAAGUUUAGUGAACCUUAUCACUUAGAGGAAGGAGAAGUCGUAACA